This is a small nuclear RNA of Equus caballus (horse), 107 nucleotides long. The record is from Ensembl. Lineage: Eukaryota; Metazoa; Chordata; Mammalia; Perissodactyla; Equidae.
GUGCUCGCUUCGGCAGCACAUAUACUGAAAUUGGAAUGAUACAGAGAAGAUUAGCAUGGCCCCUGCACAAGGACGACAUGCAAAUUCGUGAAGCAUUCCAUAUUUUU